GCCGGGUGUGGUGGCGGGCUCCUGUAGUCCCAGCUACUCUGGAGGCUAAGGCAGGAGGAUCGCUGGAGCCCAGGAGUUGUGAGCUGUAGUGCUCUAUGCCAACUGGGUGUCUGCACUAAGUUCGGCAUCAAUAUGGUGACCUCCCGGGAGCGGGAGACCAAGUUGCCUAAGGAGGGGUGAACUGGCCUAGGUUGGAAAAAGAGUAGGUCAAAACUCCUGUGAAAUUAUCAGGAAUUGGGGCUUUUGUGGGGGUAAUUACGUUUAGAUGAGGUCAUGAGGAUGGAGCCCCCAU
This 292-nucleotide signal recognition particle RNA is filed under the name Neogale vison (American mink). RNAcentral describes it as "Neovison vison (American mink) Metazoan signal recognition particle RNA (ENSNVIG00000000558.1)". It matches the Rfam family "Metazoan signal recognition particle RNA". From Rfam's summary of the family: The signal recognition particle (SRP) is a universally conserved ribonucleoprotein. It is involved in the co-translational targeting of proteins to membranes. The eukaryotic SRP consists of a 300-nucleotide 7S RNA and six proteins: SRPs 72, 68, 54, 19, 14, and 9. The record is from Rfam by way of RNAcentral. Lineage: Eukaryota; Metazoa; Chordata; Mammalia; Carnivora; Mustelidae.